GGGGUGAAAGGCUAAUCAAGCCUGUGAUAGCUGGUUCUCCCCGAAAGCUAUUUAGGUAGCGCCUCGGACGAAUACCAUAGGGGUAGAGCACUGUUUCGGCUAGGGGGUCAUCCCGACUUACCAAACCGAUGCAAACUCCGAAUACCUAUGAGUACUAUCCGGGAGACAGACUGCGGGUGCUAACGUCCGUAGUCAAGAGGAAAACAUCCAGACCGCCAGCUAAGGCCCAAAAUCAUAGUUAAGUGGGAAACGAUGUGGGAAGGCAUAGACAGCUAGGAGGUUGGCUUAGAAGCAGCCACCCUUUAAAGAAAGCGUAAUAGCUCACUAGUCGAGUCGGCCUGCGCGGAAGAUGUAACGGGGCUAAAACUAUGUGCCGAAGCUGCGGAUUUGACUUUUAAGUCAAGUGGUAGGGGAGCGUUCUGUAAGCCGAUGAAGGUGUAUUGAGAAGUAUGCUGGAGGUAUCAGAAGUGCGAAUGCUGACGUGAGUAACGACAAAACGGGUGAAAAACCCGUUCGCCGAAAGACCAAGGGUUCCAGUCCAACGUUAAUCGGGGCUGGGUGAGUCGACCCCUAAGGCGAGGCCGAAAGGCGUAGUCGAUGGGAAAUUGGUUAAUAUUCCAAUACUUCUGUGUAAUGCGAUGAGAGGACGGAGAAGGUUAAGUCAGCCUGGCGUUGGUUGUCCAGGUGAAAGGAAGUAGGCAUGCAUCUUAGGCAAAUCCGGGGUGCUCUAUGCUGAGAUCUGAUAGCAAGCUGUACUUGUACAGCGAAGUGGCUGAUACCAUGCUUCCAGGAAAAGUCUCUAAGCUUCAGUUACACAGGAAUCGUACCCUAAACCGACACAGGUGGUCAGGUCGAGUAGACCAAGGCGCUUGAGAGAACUCUGCUGAAGGAACUAGGCAAAAUGGUACCGUAACUUCGGGAGAAGGUACGCUGUUGUUGGUGAUGGAACUUGCUUCCUGAGCUGAUGACAGCCACAGAAACCAGGCCGCUGCAACUGUUUAUUAAAAACAUAGCACUCUGCAAACACGAAAGUGGACGUAUAGGGUGUGAUGCCUGCCCGGUGCUGGAAGGUUAAUUGAUGGGGUUAGCGUAAGCGAAGCUCUUGAUCGAAGCCCCAGUAAACGGCGGCCGUAACUAUAACGGUCCUAAGGUAGCGAAAUUCCUUGUCGGGUAAGUUCCGACCUGCACGAAUGGCAUAAUGAUGGCGGCGCUGUCUCCAGCAGAGGCUCAGUGAAAUCGAAAUCGCUGUGAAGAUGCAGUGUACCCGCGGCUAGACGGAAAGACCCCGUGAACCUUUACUGCAGCUUGACAUUGAACUUUGACCUUACUUGUGUAGGAUAGGUGGGAGGCUUUGAAGUUGGAACGCUAGUUCCAAUGGAGCCGUCCUUGAAAUACCACCCUGGUAAUGUUGAGGUUCUAACUCUGCCCCGUAAUCCGGGGCGAGGACCAUGUCUGGUGGGUAGUUUGACUGGGGCGGUCUCCUCCUAAAGAGUAACGGAGGAGUACGAAGGUGCGCUCAGCGUGGUCGGAAAUCACGCGUAGAGUAUAAAGGCAAAAGCGCGCUUAACUGCGAGACCCACAAGUCGAGCAGGUACGAAAGUAGGUCUUAGUGAUCCGGUGGUUCUGUAUGGAAGGGCCAUCGCUCAACGGAUAAAAGGUACUCUGGGGAUAACAGGCUGAUACCGCCCAAGAGUUCAUAUCGACGGCGGUGUUUGGCACCUCGAUGUCGGCUCAUCUCAUCCUGGGGCUGAAGCAGGUCCCAAGGGUAUGGCUGUUCGCCAUUUAAAGAGGUACGCGAGCUGGGUUUAGAACGUCGUGAGACAGUUCGGUCCCUAUCUACCGUGGGCGCUGGAAAUUUGAGAGGAUCUGCUCCUAGUACGAGAGGACCAGAGUGGACGAACCUCUGGUGUACCGGUUGUGACGCCAGUCGCAUCGCCGGGUAGCUAUGUUCGGAAGGGAUAACCGCUGAAAGCAUCUAAGCGGGAAGCCUACCUCAAGAUAAGAUUUCCCUAGGACUUUAUGUCCUCUAAAGAGCCGUUCGAGACUAGGACGUUGAUAGGUUGGAUGUGGAAGCAUAGUGAUAUGUGAAGCUGACCAAUACUAAUUGCUCGUGAGGCUUGACUAU
RNAcentral lists this ribosomal RNA (2125 nucleotides) under Acinetobacter calcoaceticus. Its description in RNAcentral is "bacterial LSU rRNA". It matches the Rfam family "Bacterial large subunit ribosomal RNA", at positions 818 to 2925 of the family's 2925-position model. Lineage: Bacteria; Pseudomonadati; Pseudomonadota; Gammaproteobacteria; Moraxellales; Moraxellaceae. The record is from RNAcentral.